Molecule: ribosomal RNA, 698 nt
Filed under: uncultured bacterium
Lineage: Bacteria
Description: bacterial SSU rRNA
Rfam family: Bacterial small subunit ribosomal RNA
Source: RNAcentral
UAAGGAACUUGCCUCUUGGUCUGGGACAACUGUUGGAAACGACAGCUAAUACCAGAUAUUAUGAGAUUCUCGCAUGAGAAACUUAUGAAAGCUAUAUGCGCCAAGAGAGAGCCUUGCGUUCCAUUAGCUAGUUGGUGGGGUAACGGCCCACCAAGGCGACGAUGGAUAGCCGGCCUGAGAGGGUGAACGGCCACAAGGGGACUGAGACACGGCCCUUACUCCUACGGGAGGCAGCAGUGGGGAAUAUUGGACAAUGGGCCACAAGCCUGAUCCAGCAAUUCUGUGUGCACGAUGAAGGUCUUCGGAUUGUAAAGUGCUUUCAGUUGGGAAGAAGAAAGUGACGGUACCAACAGAAGAAGCGACGGCUAAAUACGUGCCAGCAGCCGCGGUAAUACGUAUGUCGCAAGCGUUAUCCGGAUUUAUUGGGCGUAAAGCGCGUCUAGGCGGAAAAAUAAGUCUGAUGUUAAAAUGCGGGGCUCAACUCCGUAUUGCGUUGGAAACUGUUUUUCUAGAGUACUGGAGAGGUGGGCGGAACUACAAGUGUAGAGGUGAAAUUCGUAGAUAUUUGUAGGAAUGCCGAUGGAGAAGUCAGCUCACUGGACAGAUACUGACGCUAAAGCGCGAAAGCGUGGGGAGCAAACAGGAUUAGAUACCCUGGUAGUCCACGCCGUAAACGAUGAUCACUAGGUGUUGGGGGU